Molecule: unclassified non-coding RNA, 385 nt
Filed under: fungal sp.
Lineage: Eukaryota; Fungi
Description: partial internal transcribed spacer region
Rfam family: Eukaryotic small subunit ribosomal RNA (bases 1-46)
Source: RNAcentral
AAGUCGUAACAAGGUUUCCGUAGGUGAACCUGCGGAAGGAUCAUUAACACGUAUCCACGUAAACCCAUGUGCAGGAAGCCCGUGUGCGAUCUUGGAUCAGUGAUGCUAGCGGAGAAAUGACGGUGACCACCCUCCGGGGUGCCACUCUGCUAGCUGGACCUUGUGCUCUCUGCUUACUGGUUUCGACUAGUGUAGCGGUUUGUGCAAGAGAUCCCAAUCAUUGGUUCGAGCAUGCACGCGUCGCCGUCGAAUAUUGUUUUUUUUUUACGCCUUGUAAAUAAACUGUUCUAAACAACAAACAAUGAAAGCUUGUCGGCUUGUCCGCAAGUUAUCUUGUUUCUUACUAAAUUUUAAACAAUCCUUAGCAACGGAUAUCUUGGUUCUC